Long non-coding RNA from Salvia splendens (bonfire salvia), 732 nucleotides. RefSeq lists it as uncharacterized. Lineage: Eukaryota; Viridiplantae; Streptophyta; Magnoliopsida; Lamiales; Lamiaceae. The record is from RefSeq and is a predicted model, not a curated record. The transcript has 2 exons.
AUGAGCGACAUUGUGAGAGCCUCGGUCCACGUCAUCUCUCCUUUCGUUCUCUAAUUUCAAUUUCACGCAUCUCUUCUGCAAUUCUCAAACGCAACCAUCAAAUCCGACAGGAAUGCAGAAAAUUACCGCUCCUACUCUAAAUCUGCAAACCCGCUCGUCUCUUUCCACGUUUUCUUCUUCCCCAAUCCUUAAUUUUAUCACAAUUAAAAGCUACGCCGCAAUCAGAAGAAGAAAUUCGCCAAAAUAUAUUUUUUAAUGUUGAUAAUGAAUUUGGAUCUUUCAUAGUACUUCUACAUAUUUUGGUUGCUGAAAAAUUGAUUUGCUUGAUUUUGAGAUUGUGGACAAUUGUGCUCAUGAGAUAGAGGUGCCGAUAAAUCAACAGAUCCUUUGGCUUCGACUCUGCUGUUGAGGGUGUCCUCAACAAGAUGCUUCUAGAAACAGGCUUCUACAAGGUGUUGGGCUCUGGAUAUCACAAAGGAUCAAAGAUCACAUCUUGAAUUGUCUACAAUAAUGCAUAGCAAAUUGUGUGCAUAAUGAGAAAGAAGAAACAAAUGGAUUAUGUAUAGCUUCUAAAUUUUUCCAAGUUGUUUAGGAAAAUGAAACUCACUGGAAAAUAGUGCAAAUACAGAGCAUAAAUAAAAUCAUUCUUCAGUCUAAAUCGAAUUCUUAUUUGUAAUUCAUGGCUCUGAGUCUCAUUUUAAACCAACUAGCAAGACUACAAAUAGCAAUUCU